AGCAGCCGCGGUAAUUCCAGCUCCAAUAGCGUAUAUUAAAGUUGUUGCAGUUAAAAAGCUCGUAGUUGAAUUUCGAGAUCGGCUUACUGGUCGUGCUUUUGUACGUACUGGUAUAAUCGGUUUCUCCUUUCUGACGAACUUUAAUGCCAUUAAUUUGGUGUUUUAGGGAAUCAGGACUGUUACUUUGAAAAAUUAGAGUGUUUAAAGCAGGCUCACGCUUGAAUACAUUAGCAUGGAAUAACGGAAUAGGACGUUUGAUUCUAUUUUGUUGGUUUCUAGGAUCGACGUAAUGAUUAAUAGGGAUAGUUGGGGCAUUAGUAUUCAAUUGUCAGAGGUGAAAUUCUUGGAUUUAUUGAAGACUAACUACUGCGAAAGCAUUUGCCAAGGAUGUUUUCAUUAAUCAAGAACGAAGUUAGGGAUCGAAGACGAUCAGAUACCGUCGUAGUCUUAACCAUAAACUAU
RNAcentral lists this ribosomal RNA (462 nucleotides) under uncultured Glomus. Its description in RNAcentral is "SSU rRNA". It matches the Rfam family "Eukaryotic small subunit ribosomal RNA", at positions 569 to 1040 of the family's 1831-position model. The record is from RNAcentral. Lineage: Eukaryota; Fungi; Glomeromycota; Glomeromycetes; Glomerales; Glomeraceae.